CCUUCCGUAAGGGGACUUGCGGAAGGAUCAUUA
RNAcentral lists this ribosomal RNA (33 nucleotides) under Candida albicans. RNAcentral describes it as "partial 18S ribosomal RNA". The record is from RNAcentral. Lineage: Eukaryota; Fungi; Ascomycota; Pichiomycetes; Serinales; Debaryomycetaceae.